GACGAACGCUGGCGGCGUGCUUAACACAUGCAAGUCGAACGGAAAGGCCCUGCUUUUGUGGGGUGCUCGAGUGGCGAACGGGUGAGUAACACGUGAGUAACCUGCCCUUGACUUUGGGAUAACUUCAGGAAACUGGGGCUAAUACCGGAUAGGAGCUCCUGCUGCAUGGUGGGGGUUGGAAAGUUUCGGCGGUUGGGGAUGGACUCGCGGCUUAUCAGCUUGUUGGUGGGGUAGUGGCUUACCAAGGCUUUGACGGGUAGCCGGCCUGAGAGGGUGACCGGCCACAUUGGGACUGAGAUACGGCCCAGACUCCUGCGGGAGGCAGCAGUGGGGAAUAUUGCACAAUGGGCGGAAGCCUGAUGCAGCAACGCCGCGUGCGGGAUGACGGCCUUCGGGUUGUAAACCGCUUUCGCCUGUGACGAAGCGUGAGUGACGGUAAUGGGUAAAGAAGCACCGGCUAACUAC
This 465-nucleotide ribosomal RNA is filed under the name uncultured bacterium. Its description in RNAcentral is "partial 16S ribosomal RNA". It matches the Rfam family "Bacterial small subunit ribosomal RNA", at positions 28 to 504 of the family's 1533-position model. The record is from RNAcentral.